Molecule: ribosomal RNA, 451 nt
Filed under: uncultured Acidovorax sp.
Lineage: Bacteria; Pseudomonadati; Pseudomonadota; Betaproteobacteria; Burkholderiales; Comamonadaceae
Description: bacterial SSU rRNA
Rfam family: Bacterial small subunit ribosomal RNA
Source: RNAcentral
CGGUGGAUGAUGUGGUUUAAUUCGAUGCAACGCGAAAACCUUACCCACCUUUGACAUGUACGGAAUCCUUUAGAGAUAGAGGAGUGCUCGAAAGAGAGCCGUAACACAGGUGCUGCAUGGCUGUCGUCAGCUCGUGUCGUGAGAUGUUGGGUUAAGUCCCGCAACGAGCGCAACCCUUGUCAUUAGUUGCUACAUUCAGUUGGGCACUCUAAUGAGACUGCCGGUGACAAACCGGAGGAAGGUGGGGAUGACGUCAAGUCCUCAUGGCCCUUAUAGGUGGGGCUACACACGUCAUACAAUGGAUGGUACAAAGGGUCGCCAACCCGCGAGGGGGAGCCAAUCCCAUAAAGCCAUUCGUAGUCCGGAUCGCAGUCUGCAACUCGACUGCGUGAAGUCGGAAUCGCUAGUAAUCGCGGAUCAGCACGCCGCGGUGAAUACGUUCCCGGGCCUU